RNAcentral lists this unclassified non-coding RNA (175 nucleotides) under uncultured Penicillium. RNAcentral's name for it is "sequence contains ITS1". The record is from RNAcentral. Lineage: Eukaryota; Fungi; Ascomycota; Eurotiomycetes; Eurotiales; Aspergillaceae.
CCGAGUGAGGGCCCUCUGGGUCCAACCUCCCACCCGUGUUGCACGAACCUGUGUUGCUUCGGCGGGCCCGCCGCCAGGCCGCCGGGGGGCAUCCGCCCCCGGGCCCGCGCCCGCCGAAGCCCCCCUCUGAACGCUGUCUGAAGUUGCAGUCUGAGACAACUAGCUAAAUUAGUUA